This 742-nucleotide ribosomal RNA is filed under the name uncultured bacterium. RNAcentral describes it as "bacterial SSU rRNA". It matches the Rfam family "Bacterial small subunit ribosomal RNA", at positions 77 to 818 of the family's 1533-position model. The record is from RNAcentral.
GCUUCAAUUGCCGGCGACCGGCGCACGGGUGAGUAACGCGUAUCCAACCUUCCGUACACUCAGGGAUAGCCUUUCGAAAGAAAGAUUAAUACCUGAUGGUAUGAUGAGAUUGCAUGAUAGCAUCAUUAAAGAUUUAUCGGUGUACGAUGGGGAUGCGUUCCAUUAGGUAGUAGGCGGGGUAACGGCCCACCUAGCCAACGAUGGAUAGGGGUUCUGAGAGGAAGGUCCCCCACAUUGGAACUGAGACACGGUCCAAACUCCUACGGGAGGCAGCAGUGAGGAAUAUUGGUCAAUGGACGAGAGUCUGAACCAGCCAAGUAGCGUGAAGGAUGAAGGUCCUACGGAUUGUAAACUUCUUUUAUAAGGGAAUAAACCCUCCCACGUGUGGGAGCUUGUAUGUACCUUAUGAAUAAGCAUCGGCUAACUCCGUGCCAGCAGCCGCGGUAAUACGGAGGAUGCGAGCGUUAUCCGGAUUUAUUGGGUUUAAAGGGAGCGCAGACGGGUCGUUAAGUCAGCUGUGAAAGUUUGGGGCUCAACCUUAAAAUUGCAGUUGAUACUGGCGUCCUUGAGUGCGGUUGAGGUGUGCGGAAUUCGUGGUGUAGCGGUGAAAUGCUUAGAUAUCACGAAGAACUCCGAUUGCGAAGGCAGCACACUAAUCCGUAACUGACGUUCAUGCUCGAAAGUGUGGGUAUCAAACAGGAUUAGAUACCCUGGUAGUCCACACGGUAAACGAUGGAUACUC